GAUGAACGCUGGCGGCGUGCCUAAUACAUGCAAGUCGAGCGAACAGACGAGGAGCUUGCUCCUCUGACGUUAGCGGCGGACGGGUGAGUAACACGUGCAUAACCUACCUAUUAGACUGGGAUAACUUCGGGAAACCGGAGCUAAUACCGGAGAAUAUAUUGAACCGCAUGGUUCAAUAGUGAAAGACGGUUUUGCUGUCACUUAUAGAUGGAUCCGCGCCGCAUUAGCUAGUUGGUAAGGUAACGGCUUACCAAGGCAACGAUGCGUAGCCGAUCUGAGAGGGUGAUCGGCCACACUGGAACUGAGACACGGUCCAGACUCCUACGGGAGGCAGCAGUAGGGAAUCUUCCACAAUGGGCGAAAGCCUGACCCAGCCACGCCGCGUGGGUGAUGAAGGUCUUCGGAUCGUAAAACUCUGUUAUUGGGGAAGAACAGAUGUAUAAUUAACUCUGCACGUCUUGACGGUACCUAAUCAGAAAGCCACGGCUAACUACGUG
This 497-nucleotide ribosomal RNA is filed under the name uncultured bacterium. RNAcentral describes it as "partial 16S ribosomal RNA". It matches the Rfam family "Bacterial small subunit ribosomal RNA", at positions 28 to 507 of the family's 1533-position model. The record is from RNAcentral.